UACGAAGGGUGCAAGCGUUGUCCGGAAUCACUGGGCGUAAAGGGCGCGUAGGCGGCUCAUGAAGGCUGUGGUGAAAGUCCGGGGCUCAACCUCGGAUCGGCCGUGGCGACUCGUGGGCUGGAGCACUGUAGAGGCGGGUGGAAUUCCGGGUGUAGCGGUGGAAUGCGUAGAGAUCCGGAAGAACACCAGUGGCGAAGGCGGCCCGCUGGGCAGUGGCUGACGCUGAGGCGCGACAGCGUGGGGAGCAAACAGG
This 253-nucleotide ribosomal RNA is filed under the name uncultured bacterium. Its description in RNAcentral is "partial 16S ribosomal RNA". It matches the Rfam family "Bacterial small subunit ribosomal RNA", at positions 524 to 776 of the family's 1533-position model. The record is from RNAcentral.